AAUAUACUCCCUCCGUCCAGAAAUACUUGUCAUCAAAAUAAAUAAAAAUGAAUGCAUCUAGAUGUAUUUUAGUUUUAGAUAUCCCUUUUUGUCCAUUUUGAUGACAAGUAUUUUCGGACGGAGGGAAUACUAC
Triticum aestivum (bread wheat) is the source of this 133-nucleotide non-coding RNA. The record is from Rfam. NCBI's taxonomy places the organism in Eukaryota, Viridiplantae, Streptophyta, Magnoliopsida, Poales, Poaceae.